CUCUAUGCUCGUCUCGUAAGUUUGUUUAUAGUGAUAUCUGUGUUUACGAAUUCUCUUCCUAAUAGUCCGCUGAAAACGAAUUCAAAGUGAAAUAGGUGCGAUAAUGCUACUUAGAUUCAGUGAAGUACAGUAACCGCGACCCAAGCUGCAGAAAUUCAUCAGAGGUUCAUUUUCCAACACUCCGCCUGUGACCAAAAGAUAUUGGAGAUUUUGGCCUAAAAUCCUGCACUAAAACUAAGCCGAAUACGCAAAGAUCCAAUAAGGAGUGAAGUCGCGGAAGAAGCGUCCCUUUUGGAUCAAUCCCUUCGAGGAAAGGACAAAACACCCAACGAUUGUCUUCAAUUGACUUCCAGUAAGAUUCUGUAAAGCGCGGUAGACUGGGAGGCGAUCUGCGGGCGGCGCCAAAUAGGCGACACUAUGCCAACAUCACGACCUGCCAGCACCGAGCGCUGGCUGACACUCGCUGACGAAAUGCCAAAUAUGAGGCCCUUUUGACAGCGACGGACAAGUGCUUGUAAGCGGGGACUUUCUCCGCUGUACAGAAGGUCCUCGUGAAGGAGUUCGCGUUGAACGGGACUGCCAAAGCCGUAGUUUGUGUGAACGCGAAGGUAAUUCAUUCUAGUCAUAUCUAAUCUCGUGCGCUUUGCUUCACGCUGCUCUCAAGAAACAAAGGGAAAAACUACAAAGCAAAAGUGCUCAUAUAUCGCCAAGAAGAAGAACAUUUCGCCCAGCACCAGCCGAGCCGAGCGCGUCCGUCUCGCGCCCACGAGAAGCGCGGGCGACGCCGUCCGUCGGUGAUCGGAUCUAACGACCCUUGUCCCUGUGGCGCCGAGCGAGCCCCUGGCGGGAAGGAGCGCAAGUGUCGCCGAGGCUGCGGCGGGACGGUCGCCAGUGAUGGUCGCGACGCGUGAGAGCAGCUUCC
Long non-coding RNA from Penaeus monodon (black tiger shrimp), 922 nucleotides. RefSeq lists it as uncharacterized. Lineage: Eukaryota; Metazoa; Arthropoda; Malacostraca; Decapoda; Penaeidae. The transcript has 5 exons. The record is from RefSeq and is a predicted model, not a curated record.